Non-coding RNA from Camellia sinensis, 518 nucleotides. NCBI's taxonomy places the organism in Eukaryota, Viridiplantae, Streptophyta, Magnoliopsida, Ericales, Theaceae. The record is from RefSeq and is a predicted model, not a curated record.
GCAGGCUGUUUCAUUUUGUGCUGGGCUCAGGCAGUUUAGAGGAGUCCCAGUGCCUCAAUGAUGGGACUCCAGAAGUGAGGGAUGCAGCCUUUGGCAGCAGUGGCUAAGUUGGUUGGCAUGAGGCCUUUAGAAAAAUCGUUGGAGAAACUGGAUGACGUUAGAAAAAAGAAGCUUUCAGAAAUGAUUGGGGGUUCUGGAGCUGGUUCAGUUGGUUUAAUCUCAGUUACAGUUCAAACUUCUAGUGGAAGCAUUUCUUCUGCAGCGGUGAGUUUAUUCUUGCCUUUUAAAAUUGGUAUACUAUAGCUGGAUUGUAAGUAGGAUCUUGUAGGAUUGCAGUUAGGAUCUUUGGGUUGGUGAUUUUUCACCUCAUCUUUAUUAUGCAUCAUCCUUGUUGGUAUUUUUACCUUUUUUCAUUGUUAUAAAAGUAUAAUCUUAUGAUUCUUGAUCCGAUACGAUUCAAUCUACUAGACUCUCUCACCAUUCUCAUAUCCUGAUUUAUUAACCAUGAUGCCAGAGUU